This 429-nucleotide ribosomal RNA is filed under the name uncultured bacterium. RNAcentral describes it as "bacterial SSU rRNA". It matches the Rfam family "Bacterial small subunit ribosomal RNA", at positions 355 to 776 of the family's 1533-position model. The record is from RNAcentral.
UAGGGAAUUUUGCGCAAUGGACGAAAGUCUGACGCAGCAACGCCGCGUGAGUGAUGAAGGUCUUCGGAUUGUAAAGCUCUGUUGCGUGGGAAGAAAAGCUUUGGGAAUAAUACCCCGAAGUCUGACGGUACCACUUGAGGAAGCUCCGGCUAACUACGUGCCAGCAGCCGCGGUAAUACGUAGGGAGCAAGCGUUGUUCGGAAUCACUGGGCGUAAAGGGAGCGUAGGCGGAAAAAUAAGUUAGGAGUUUAAUGUACGGGCUCAACCCGUAAUCUGCUUCUAAUACUGUUUGUCUUGAGUAUGGGAGAGGGAGAUGGAAUUCCAGGUGUAGCGGUGGAAUGCGUAGAUAUCUGGAAGAACACCAGCUGCGAAGGCGGUCUCCUGGCCCAAUACUGACGCUGAGGCUCGAAAGCUAGGGGAGCAAACAGG